RNAcentral lists this ribosomal RNA (198 nucleotides) under Triticum aestivum (bread wheat). RNAcentral's name for it is "partial small subunit ribosomal RNA". The record is from RNAcentral. Lineage: Eukaryota; Viridiplantae; Streptophyta; Magnoliopsida; Poales; Poaceae.
AUGUCGCAAUUUUGGUGGGGUGACGAGGACAAUCAGAAAAGGAUGCAUUGGAUGUCGUGGUGGAAGAUGUGUGUUCCAAAAGACCAAGGAGGAAUGGGAAUCCGAGAUAUAUAUUGUUUCAAUUUUGCUUUGCUAGCCAAGCAAGUGUGGCGUUUGCUUGAUAAUCCAGAAUCUUUAUGUGCCACAAUCUUGAGCUAA